Molecule: long non-coding RNA, 621 nt
Organism: Lagopus leucura (white-tailed ptarmigan)
Lineage: Eukaryota; Metazoa; Chordata; Aves; Galliformes; Phasianidae
Exons: 2
Source: RefSeq, a predicted model, not a curated record
CCCCGUCCCUCUGUGCCCGAGGGUCCUACAGCGCUGCUUUGUCUCCUGCCCAGGGAAGUGGUUUGUGAGCACGGGGAAGGACAACCUGCUCAACGCCUGGCGCACGCCCUAUGGAGCCAGCAUCUUCCAGUCCAAGGAAACUUCCUCCGUCCUCAGCUGCGACGUCUCCACCGACGAUCAGUUCAUCGUCACCGGCUCCGGAGACAAGAAGGCGACGGUCUACGAAGUCAUUUACUGAGAGUCUCGGAGGUGACGGCCUGGGUCUGUUCCCUGAGAGCAGACGGACUCACAGCCAUGGGGACGGACAGACGGACUCUGACACAGAGGGGUGGCAGCCCAGGCCUGGAGCCAUUGGCGAUGGGGACCCUGCAGUGCUGGGAGGCAGCUGCUGCUCGCAGGGCCCUUCCCAGAGGUUUCCUCCUCCUUUGGUUCGUUAUUGGUUGGUUUGUUUCUAAAUGGGGGUUGGGGGAGCGAAGGGGGCUUUCUUUUGUAAUGUCAUUUUUUUGUGGUUUUUUUUUUUUGUUAAAGUGCUGGGCUGGGCAGGAUGAGAGCUCUCCUCAUCUCCCCCUGCACCCAACCAGGGCAUAUUUAAUAAUAAAAAGCAAACAGCAGCGCGGUGCA